GUCGUAGCUCAGUGGUAGAGCAUCUGCUUUGCUUGCAGCAGGUCCCAGGUUCAAUCCCCAGCAUCUCCC
RNAcentral lists this transfer RNA (69 nucleotides) under Podarcis lilfordi (Lilford's wall lizard). RNAcentral's name for it is "tRNA.Ala". It matches the Rfam family "tRNA". From Rfam's summary of the family: Transfer RNA (tRNA) molecules are approximately 80 nucleotides in length. Their secondary structure includes four short double-helical elements and three loops (D, anti-codon, and T loops). The record is from RNAcentral. Lineage: Eukaryota; Metazoa; Chordata; Lepidosauria; Squamata; Lacertidae.